GAUGAACGCUAGCAGAACGCCUAACACAUGCAAGUCGAACGAAUAUUAGUCUUCGGACUAAUGUUAGUGGCAAACGGGCGCGUAACACGUAUCUAACCUACCCUUGAGUGAGGCACAACUAUGGAGACAUAGCUAAUUCCUCAUACGCUCAUCAGAAUGAAAAUAUGAUGAGGAAAGAUUUAUCGCUCAAGGAGGGGGGUGCGGCCUAUCAGGUAGUUGGUGAGGUAAUGGCUCACCAAGCCUAUGACGGGUAGCCGGUCUGAGAGGAUGUCCGGCCGCAAUGGAACUGAGAACGGUCCAUACUCCUACGGGAGGCAGCAGUGGGGAAUAUUGGACAAUGGGCGAAAGCCUGAUCCAGCGAUUCUGCGUGAAGGAUGAAGCCUUAUGGGGUGUAAACUUCUUUUCUGGGGGAAGACGAAUGACGGUACCUCAGGAAUAAGAGACGGCUAACUACGUGCCAGCAGCCGCGGUAAUGU
Molecule: ribosomal RNA, 476 nt
Filed under: uncultured bacterium
Lineage: Bacteria
Description: bacterial SSU rRNA
Rfam family: Bacterial small subunit ribosomal RNA
Source: RNAcentral